GAACGCAUCUUGCGCCCUCUGGUAUUCCGGAGGGCAUGCCUGUCUGAGCGUCAAUAUAACAUCAAACAACAGUUUGGUCUUGGAAGAAGAGAUGGCAACGUCUCCCUUCUGUAAAUCAUUGAGCAGCGGUCCAAGCUAUGCGACGUAGUAAGCACAAAUCUCGUCGAACUGUAGCCUUGUGACUGUUUGCCAUAACCCAAAUAUAUCAUUGUUUGACCUCAGAUCAGGUAGGGAUACCCCCUGAACUUA
Molecule: unclassified non-coding RNA, 249 nt
Filed under: uncultured fungus
Lineage: Eukaryota; Fungi
Description: sequence contains 5.8S rRNA gene
Rfam family: 5.8S ribosomal RNA (bases 1-53)
Source: RNAcentral